UAGAUGCGAGAGUAGAGCAUAUCAAUAAGCGGAGGAAAAGAAACUAACAAGGAUUCCCUUAGUAACGGCGAGUGAAGCGGGAAGAGCUCAAAUUUGAAAUCUUCAAGGUUUUACCUUGACGAAUUGUAGUUUAAAGAAGUGUUUUCUGUUGGAGUUUUGGUAAAAGUUCUUUGGAAUAGGACAUCAUAGAGGGUGAGAAUCCCGUAUUUGACCAUUAUUUCAGCUGUGUGAUACACUUUCAAAGAGUCGGAUUGUUUGGGAAUGCAGUCCAAAAUGGGUGGUAAAUUUCAUCUAAAGCUAAAUAUUGGCGAGAGACCGAUAGCGAACAAGUACCGUGAGGGAAAGAUGAAAAGAACUUUGAAAAGAGAGUUAAACAGUACGUGAAAUUGUCAAAAGGGAAGCGUUUGACAUCAGUGUUGUUUUCUCGAAAAUCAAUUAAAAAAUGCCUGGAUUUUGUGUUGUAUUGACCUUAUAAGCUUUCUGCACUCUUUUCUUAUCUUUUUUAAUGCACUUUUCGUUUAACAAGUCAACAUCAAUUUCUUUUGUUGUAAAAGAGGUCAUUGGAAGGUGGCUUUUCUUUCGGAAAAGUGUUUAUAGCCUUUGAUCUCUGCAAUCGGAGAGACUGAGGUCUGCAGCGUAGACUCUUCGGGGUUAGAUACAUUUGUGCUAAGCUAUAGCUUCUUUAUAGACAACUUGUUGACUAUAAUUAAUCCUUGUAACUUACUCGCUUAUGCUAUUUUACCUACGCUUAGGAUGUUGACGCGCGUGUGUGCGUG
Molecule: ribosomal RNA, 776 nt
Filed under: uncultured Neocallimastigales
Lineage: Eukaryota; Fungi; Neocallimastigomycota; Neocallimastigomycetes; Neocallimastigales
Description: partial large subunit ribosomal RNA
Rfam family: Eukaryotic large subunit ribosomal RNA
Source: RNAcentral